GGCGACAUAGCCAAGUGGUAAGGCGUGGGUCUGCAACACCCUGAUCACCAGUUCGAAUCUGGUUGUCGCCU
RNAcentral lists this transfer RNA (71 nucleotides) under Lachnospira multipara. It matches the Rfam family "tRNA". From Rfam's summary of the family: Transfer RNA (tRNA) molecules are approximately 80 nucleotides in length. Their secondary structure includes four short double-helical elements and three loops (D, anti-codon, and T loops). Lineage: Bacteria; Bacillati; Bacillota; Clostridia; Lachnospirales; Lachnospiraceae. RNAcentral also lists the same sequence under 20 other names. The record is from Rfam by way of RNAcentral.